This 762-nucleotide ribosomal RNA is filed under the name uncultured marine haptophyte. RNAcentral describes it as "bacterial SSU rRNA". It matches the Rfam family "Bacterial small subunit ribosomal RNA", at positions 542 to 1312 of the family's 1533-position model. Lineage: Eukaryota; Haptophyta. The record is from RNAcentral.
UAUCCGGAAUCAUUGGGCGUAAAGCGCCUGUAGGUUGUUUAAUAAGUCUGUUGUUAAAGCCUAGGGCUUAACCCUAGAAAAGCAAUGGAAACUACUAGACUAGAGUAUGGCAGGGGCAGAGGGAAUCUCUAGUGUAGCGGUGAAAUGCGUAGAUAUUAGAAAGAACACCGGUGGCGAAAGCGCUCUGCUGGACCAUUACUGACACUCAGAGGCGAAAGCUAGGGUAGCAAAAGGGAUUAGAUACCCCUGUAGUCCUAGCCGUAAACGAUGGAUACUAGAUGUUGUGCAUAAUGUACAGUAUCGCAGCUAACGCGUUAAGUAUCCCGCCUGGGGAGUACGCUCGCAAGGGUGAAACUCAAAGGAAUUGACGGGGGCCCGCACAAGCGGUGGAGCAUGUGGUUUAAUUCGAUGCAACGCGAAGAACCUUACCAGGGCUUGACAUACUACAGAUUCUUUAGAGAUAAAGAAGUGCCUUCGGGAAUGUAGAUACAGGUGGUGCAUGGCUGUCGUCAGCUCGUGUCGUGAGAUGUUGGGUUAAGUCCCGCAACGAGCGCAACCCUUAUUUUUAGUUACUAAUUCGUUAGGUUCUCUAGAAAGACUGCCGGUGACAAACCGGAGGAAGGUGAGGAUGACGUCAAGUCAGCAUGCCCCUUAUGCCCUGGGCUACACACGUGCUACAAUGGUUAAGACAAAGAGUCGCGAGCUCGCGAGAGUCAGCUAAUCUCAUAAACUUAGCCUAAGUUCAGAUUGUAGGCUGCAACU